CCGCGGAAAGCUGGGAAUCCUGGGCUGCUGGUCCCAGUGCCAGCUUUGGCAGUCCCAGUCUGUCCGGCACAGCAGCCCGGCGCAUUCUCUUUUCUCCCUCCCAUUUUUCUUCCUCCCUUUUAUUCUUUUCUUUCCUCCUCUACUUCCCCCUCCCUCUUUUGCCUCUUAAGUUUCCUGCACCGUGAAUCCAACUGUGCCAAGCCUGGGCUCUCGCGAACCAAUCCAGAGCGCGACCCGGGCAUUGGGACGCCGACUCCGCCAAGGCUGGAGGAGGCAGCUGGACCCGUCCUCGCCCGAGCAUGGAGACGGAGCUCCAGGGAGGGCACGUCCGGGGCGCUGGAGACGCCAGGCCCGAGUAGCUCCUCCAUGGAGCCUGCCCAGAGCGGUCAGUGCUCUCCGGAUUCUCCUCCAGUCCUGUGUGGUAGGUACCCUUCGCCUUCACUGUUUCCAGAAGGGACACCUUGGGGCAGGGUCGUAGAAGCCAGUAAGGAGCGGCGGGGAGGGGGAGAGAGCAUGCCUGGCAGGUGAGCCUCCCAGCCCCAGGCAGGUUUGUACUCUAGAAGUUAGCAACUGGCUGUGCCCCUUGACUAGCAAAAAGUAGUGCUAGUGAUGUGAUGUUGUGUAUGUGUGUGUAUAUCUGUAUGUGCAGGGGACUCGAAUGGGUAAACUGAGCCCUGCUUUCCUAUAUGCAAAUUGCAACCCCUUUCCCCACCCCCACUUCAGCGAACGUGUUGAGAUAUCCAGCACCUAAUCCUGGUCAGUUCUACCUACCCCUUUCUUUCCCCGCGCCCCCUCGCUCAGUCUCUCCCCCUCUCUCCUUCUCUCUCUCUGCUGGUGUGUACGUGUGUGAGCCUUGCCAGGGCUGGCGAAGAACCAGCCGCCGCCUCUUGUCCGAGCUGCCGGGCUAUCAAACGUUAGGGCAGGACUCGCUGCCAGAAACAGUUGGGCUCUGAACCAGCCUGCACGCGGCUCUGUGUGCCCAAAGCCUCCGGCCUCUGCCGCCCCGGAACUCACACCCAAGAAGCGCAGGGCGCAAGGAGCCCCUCACCCUCCCGCCCGCCCGCCCGCCUGCCUGCGGACUGCGCGCUCGCUCAUUUCAGACGCUGGAUUUACUCGCUUUCCAAUUUUUCGCACCCCCAUCUCAGUUUUUUUUUUUUUUUUGGUCCACCCCUCCCCGCCGCGACCCCCUUUCCCCGCUUGAUCGCCAAGCCUAACCUUGCCCGCGUGGUCAUGGGUUGUCUAAUUUCAUUUGUAUCUAGGCUGCUGAGAGCGCUCCUUGCUCUGUAAAGUGGAUGUCAGGUGGAUCUAUGUUUUUGAAGGAACAAAGACUCAGCGAAGGCACCGCCAAGGAAGUUUGAGACGCGGGAGGAUGCAGGCUGCGUGCUGGUACGUGCUUCUCCUCCUGCAGCCCACGUUCUACUUGG
RNAcentral lists this long non-coding RNA (1424 nucleotides) under Marmota monax (woodchuck). Lineage: Eukaryota; Metazoa; Chordata; Mammalia; Rodentia; Sciuridae. The record is from RNAcentral.